Molecule: non-coding RNA, 89 nt
Organism: Podarcis lilfordi (Lilford's wall lizard)
Lineage: Eukaryota; Metazoa; Chordata; Lepidosauria; Squamata; Lacertidae
Source: the annotation of a GenBank genome assembly
UUUAGUUGUUGAGUCGUGUCCGACUCUUCGUGACCCCAUGGACCAGAGCACACCAGGUCCAUGGGGUCACGAAGAGUCGGACACGACUA